GACGAACGCUGGCGGCGUGCUUAAAACAUGCAAGUCGAACGGACUUCUCAUGAAGCUUGCGAUUGAGAAGUUAGUGGCGGACGGGUGAGUAACGCGUGGGCAACCUGCCCCUGAGCCCGGGAUAACAGUUCGAAAGGACUGCUAAGACCGGAUAUACUUGCGGGGAAGCAUUUCACUGCAAGGAAAGGGAACGCUCAGGGAUGGGCCCGCGUCCCAUUAGCUAGUUGGUGAGGUAACGGCCCACCAAGGCGACGAUGGGUAGCCGGCCUGAGAGGGUGAACGGCCACACUGGGACUGAGACACGGCCCAGACUCCUACGGGAGGCAGCAGUUGGGAAUCUUCGGCAAUGGGCGCAAGCCUGACCGAGCAACGCCGCGUGAGUGAUGAAGGUUUUCGGAUUGUAAAGCUCUGUCUUCCGGGACGAUAAUGACGGUACCGGAGGAGGAAGCCACGGCUAACUACGUG
This 465-nucleotide ribosomal RNA is filed under the name uncultured bacterium. RNAcentral describes it as "bacterial SSU rRNA". It matches the Rfam family "Bacterial small subunit ribosomal RNA", at positions 28 to 507 of the family's 1533-position model. The record is from RNAcentral.